Callithrix jacchus (white-tufted-ear marmoset) is the source of this 103-nucleotide small nuclear RNA. NCBI's taxonomy places the organism in Eukaryota, Metazoa, Chordata, Mammalia, Primates, Cebidae. The record is from Ensembl.
GUGCUCACUCGACAGUACACAUACUAAAAUUGGAAUGAUACAGAGAUUACCAUGGCCCCUGUGCAAGGAUGACAUGCAAAUUCGUGAAGCGUUACAUAUUUUU